CUCGGUGGCGCUAGAGAUUUUGAGGAACAACAAAUGGAGUCAGGUGACAUUUGAGAGCCCAUGCUGAUGGGUUUGGAAUGACAUGAGGGUGAAAUAUGACCCUGGACCUUCUUGACAGGUGUCAUGAGAUUCACAGAGACAGAUGAUCUCUCACACACAACGAGGAUGAUGAUCAUCAUACGAAUGACGUCCUUCAUUAACAGCAAAAUUUAUUUGGCCCACGAGUUUCUUGACCCAGCGGUCUUUGGCGUAUUCCAGCAUACAACCACCCGUCACUCCUCUAAUUUUUAACGAGCAAGACUUGUAUGACCCAAGAAAACAGCUUAAUUACCCUCUCUGGACCCUGGUUCAGACGCGUAGGGGUGGGUGGUCUGCUGCAGUUUCCUCCCUGCAUAACACUCAAAUGUGUGCUGUGCGUCCAUUAAAAGGGGAAAAAUAACAAAAUGCCUCAUUGAAAACACUUGAAAUGACUAAAACAUACGUUCUUAUUGGCUGGUUUAUUGGUUAGACUAACAGUAAAACAGCAAGGUCAAACUGUCUUUCUGUGAUCUCAUGACAUUUUUAAACGUUUAUAUUUUCAUGUGAUCAAAGUCAUCAAUUAUCACAUGUAUAUUCAAACAUACCACACAAUA
Megalobrama amblycephala (Wuchang bream) is the source of this 632-nucleotide long non-coding RNA. RefSeq lists it as uncharacterized. Lineage: Eukaryota; Metazoa; Chordata; Actinopteri; Cypriniformes; Xenocyprididae. The record is from RefSeq and is a predicted model, not a curated record. The transcript has 3 exons.